AUAAAACAUGUUCUUCAAAGUAUUAGGCAACUAAAGGAAAAACAAAUUCCACAAAAGACAACCAGUCGGUUCCAUUUUGUUUAAUGUUGUACAAAAAAAAUUGGUGAGUAUUACAAUGAAAAGUGAUUAAAUCACUGAUAUCACACUGCCAUCCCGCUACCUAAACAGCUGAGAUUCACUUCUCUAUUCAUACAAUAGAAUCUUAGUGGCCUUCAGGAAAAGAACAAAAAUGAAAUCCUCGAGUCACAUGUUCUUUUUUCUACAUCAUAAAGCUGUGCUCACAGAGACGGCUUCUUCUAUCAGACUCCUCGGGCGUACAGGAACUCAGUUGUAAAUAAAGUUGAACCUGCUCAAAAGCUGAGGAAGGCUGGAAAUAAUGGGUCCGUAUCCUGGUGCAUUGUCAUAGAGCUCAAACAACGGUGCAGCUACCAGCUUGUAAUUUUUGGGGACUGCAAACAAAGCCUUUUCUUGAAGCUGGACUAAGAAAAGCUUCUUGUGCUCUUUUGGUUUGGUAAUGUGAGCUGGGAUAUAGGGGUACUGUGGAGGUUCAAAGUUUGGUCUCCACCAGUUACCAAUGCAGUCAUCAAUCACCCAGUCCUGCUGGACGCCAUCCUGACGGCCCAGGAUCUCUGUCAUUAAGCGUUUGAGCCCUUCUACCUCAUCUUCUCCUGGAUUGAGUUCACCACCAGGUAGCUUGAAGAAAGUCGUCCCCAGCUGCAGUAAUAACACGUGGGGCAGUCGGUGCUCGUGCACUAUCAGAACUCCUUCCACCGUCCGCCUCAUACCAAUUUUGUCAAACUCUUCUCUCAUGCGCUGGAACCGAGCAGCCACUGAACUGUCCUUCUCAUAAAGGGGCUCCUUUGUGCCAAAUGUGUAAUUGGUGAGAGGAUACAGGUUGAUGGUCCUCUCCAGUGUCAGCGGCUUGGUCUGCUGGAUGUAUUUGUUCCCGAACUGGUUCACCCCGCGGGGCCAGCCGGUCUGCGAGCGGUUGGGCGGCACCACGGACAUGGCGAGAGGCGGCGGGAACGCUAUCCGCCAUACAACUCCCGGCGGGCCGCGCUGCCACCGCUCCGACGGAAGCGCCCGCCUUCCACUUCCGGCGGCGCCCACCAUAGAGUCGCGCCGCUCCGUCCCUCCGCGGCGUCCCGCCUGACCAACUGCGGGG
RNAcentral lists this long non-coding RNA (1165 nucleotides) under Gallus gallus (chicken). Lineage: Eukaryota; Metazoa; Chordata; Aves; Galliformes; Phasianidae. The record is from RNAcentral.